RNAcentral lists this ribosomal RNA (429 nucleotides) under Bacteroidota bacterium. RNAcentral describes it as "Bacteroidetes bacterium partial 16S ribosomal RNA". It matches the Rfam family "Bacterial small subunit ribosomal RNA", at positions 355 to 776 of the family's 1533-position model. Lineage: Bacteria; Pseudomonadati; Bacteroidota. The record is from RNAcentral.
UAGGGAAUCUUCCGCAAUGGACGCAAGUCUGACGGAGCAACGCCGCGUGAGUGAAGAAGGAUUUCGGUUCGUAAAACUCUGUUGUUAGAGAAGAACAGCGCAUAGAGUAACUGUUAUGCGUGUGACGGUAUCUAACCAGAAAGCCACGGCUAACUACGUGCCAGCAGCCGCGGUAAUACGUAGGUGGCAAGCGUUGUCCGGAUUUAUUGGGCGUAAAGCGAGCGCAGGCGGUCAAUUAAGUCUGAUGUGAAAGCCCCCGGCUCAACCGGGGAGGGUCAUUGGAAACUGGUUGACUUGAGUGCAGAAGAGGGGAGUGGAAUUCCAUGUGUAGCGGUGAAAUGCGUAGAUAUAUGGUAGAACACCGGUGGCGAAAGCGGCUCUCUGGUCUGUAACUGACGCUGAGGCUCGAAAGCGUUGGGAGCGAACAGG